Phrynosoma platyrhinos (Desert horned lizard) is the source of this 74-nucleotide non-coding RNA. The record is from the annotation of a GenBank genome assembly. NCBI's taxonomy places the organism in Eukaryota, Metazoa, Chordata, Lepidosauria, Squamata, Phrynosomatidae.
AGCUGAGCAUGGCAUAGUGGUUUGAGUGUUGGUCCACAACUCUGGAGACAAGGGUUCAAUUCCCCACUCGGUUA